This 606-nucleotide ribosomal RNA is filed under the name uncultured bacterium. RNAcentral's name for it is "bacterial SSU rRNA". The stretch from base 1 to 518 matches the Rfam family "Bacterial small subunit ribosomal RNA", at positions 338 to 873 of the family's 1533-position model. The record is from RNAcentral.
CCUACGGGAGGCAGCAGUGGGGAAUAUUGGACAAUGGGCGAAAGCCUGAUCCAGCAAUGCCGCGUGAGUGAAGAAGGCCUUCGGGUUGUAAAGCUCUUUUACCCGGGAAGAUAAUGACUGUACCGGGAGAAUAAGCCCCGGCUAACUCCGUGCCAGCAGCCGCGGUAAUACGGAGGGGGCUAGCGUUGUUCGGAAUUACUGGGCGUAAAGCGUACGUAGGCGGCUUUGUAAGUCAGAGGUGAAAGCCCACGACUCAAUCGUGGAACUGCCUUUGAGACUGCUUCGCUUGAAGAUGGGAGAGGUUAGUGGAAUUCCGAGUGUAGAGGUGAAAUUCGUAGAUAUUCGGAAGAACACCAGUGGCGAAGGCGGCUAACUGGACCAUUCUUGACGCUGAGGUACGAAAGCGUGGGGAGCAAACAGGAUUAGAUACCCUGGUAGUCCACGCCGUAAACGAUGAUAACUAGCUGUCGGGGCUCUUGGAGCUUCGGUGGCGCAGCUACGACAUUAAGUUAUCCGUCCGUCGGGUAGGUACGGCCGCGAAGGUUAAACGUAACGAAGAAGUAGACGGCGUGAGACGNGCCGACGGACGACGACGAGGGAGGUAGG